UCGAGGGAGUUGAAAAGGCAGCGAGGAGGGUGCGGAGAGUAGGGAACUUGAGCAGGGAGCGAGCAAAGCAAGUAGUAGCGCAGCAAGCUAUGUAAUCAAUAAAGACACAACUGCCAACUCGGGUGUUCUGUCUAGUCAUUCCCCUCUCACCAUGGAGGGGCCAGAGACAUCUGAAGACUGCAGGAUGCGUGCUGGACUUCCUGAUAAUGAGCACCAUGCUCGCCUGCCAACACAUGCUUAUCAAGACCUGUCAACAGACUUGACUACUGAUAGAAAGUAUUGAGGAUUUAUUAUACAGGUGUGCUACACUUAGCCACAAAGAAAACCAUCAGUCCGGAAUGAUGAAAAUCCCAUGGCAUUAAGUCAAGUUGCAGCCUACACAUUCGCUUCUUCUUCCACUUGGUUCUCGUGGCACAAUGGAAGUUGACAAGAUGGUGCUAAGAAGAAGAGAAUCUAAUAUACUGCUUAAAAACAAAUUGGAUAUGAAAGAAUUUCACAGAUUCUUAUAUAAUCCUCCUCUUCUUCUUUGUAUUUUGAAAAGCUUGUGUUUACUGAAAAUAAAGUUCAUAAUAAAAACUGAAUGGAAUAAAUAAAAUAAAGGGAUUGGUUAGCUUUGGAACAAUGAUUUCAUGGAUCCAUUGUGAUGGCAAUAUUUAAAAGCUAAAUAAGCUGGGGCAUAGGAAUAUAAUACUAUAAAACUAUUCCUUAGCUGGAA
Molecule: long non-coding RNA, 715 nt
Organism: Vombatus ursinus (common wombat)
Lineage: Eukaryota; Metazoa; Chordata; Mammalia; Diprotodontia; Vombatidae
Exons: 4
Source: RefSeq, a predicted model, not a curated record